AGCGGCGGACGGGUGAGUAACACGUGGGUAACCUGCCCAAGAGACUGGGAUAACACCUGGAAACAGAUGCUAAUACCGGAUAACAACACUAGACGCAUGUCUAGAGUUUGGAAGAUGGUUCUGCUAUCACUCUUGGAUGGACCUGCGGUGCAUUAGCUAGUUGGUAAGGUAACGGCUUACCAAGGCAAUGAUGCAUAGCCGAGUUGAGAGACUGAUCGGCCACAUUGGGACUGAGACACGGCCCAAACUCCUACGGGAGGCAGCAGUAGGGAAUCUUCCACAAUGGACGAAAGUCUGAUGGAGCAACGCCGCGUGAGUGAAGAAGGGUUUCGGCUCGUAAAGCUCUGUUGGUAGUGAAGAAAGAUAGAGGUAGUAACUGGCCUUUAUUUGACGGUAAUUACUUAGAAAGUCACGGCUAACUACGUGCCAGCAGCCGCGGUAAUACGUAGGUGGCAAGCGUUGUCCGGAUUUAUUGGGCGUAAAGCGAGUGCAGGCGGUUCAAUAAGUCUGAUGUGAAAGCCUUCGGCUCAACCGGAGAAUUGCAUCAGAAACUGUUGAACUUGAGUGCAGAAGAGGAGGGUGGAACUCCAUGUGUAGCGGUGGAAUGCGUAGAUAUAUGGAAGAACACCAGUGGCGAAGGCGGCUCUCUGGUCUGCAACUGACGCUGAGGCUCGAAAGCAUGGGUAGCGAACAGGAUUAGAUACCCUGGUAGUCCAUGCCGUAAACGAUGAGUGCUAAGUGU
This 742-nucleotide ribosomal RNA is filed under the name uncultured bacterium. RNAcentral's name for it is "bacterial SSU rRNA". It matches the Rfam family "Bacterial small subunit ribosomal RNA", at positions 94 to 823 of the family's 1533-position model. The record is from RNAcentral.